AAAAGGUUGGACUGGCCUGAAUGAUCUUGAGAGGGAGGGUUAUUUCUACUGGACAUAUACAGGAGAAUACUUUAUUUAUAAUAUAGGAUCUAUAUCAGAACACGACUGCAUUUAUUUGCACCAGACAGGUUUGUUUGAACAGGAUUGCAGUUCCUCUUUCCCAUACAUCUGUGAAAUUGAUUGGUGUCUCCAUUGAUUAGCCCAGGCAGAUGUUACUUGGAGGACUUAAACUAGAAAACACGACUUGGAAGAGUUUGAAUGGACUGAAACAUUUCUGUUACAAUUAAUCAAUUGAAUGGAACCUCUUCAUUAUGUUAUGCCAGUGGAUCAAGACCUUUUCAUUACAUACUGUCAGUGGAUUGAAAACUUUUCUUUAUAUUAUGUCAAAUGGAUUGAAACUUUUUGUUAUGUCAAUGGAUUGAAACCUCUUCCUUAUAUUAUGUCAUUUUGUCACUGCAUUGAGAUAUGUUCCUUAAAAAUUACAGUAUGUUGUACAUUUUUUUUUUAUUUAAGCUAAUUGCUUGUUCCUGAUUCUCAAAGCAUUUCAGAAUGAAAUUGUUUGUCAUUUAUAUUGAAUUGAAAAGAUUCUUUUACAGAGAAAUAAAAAGCAAGAGAAGAAUAUUUAAGUCA
Molecule: long non-coding RNA, 630 nt
Organism: Mercenaria mercenaria
Lineage: Eukaryota; Metazoa; Mollusca; Bivalvia; Venerida; Veneridae
Exons: 2
Source: RefSeq, a predicted model, not a curated record